ACUAUGGGUGUGUGUAUAUAGACAUGCAGGCAGCAGUUUGGGCGAGAGAGAGGCCAACAACAAGAACCCGGAGAAGGAGAAAUGAACUUUUUCUUUUCAAGUGAGGGUGAUGGACACCACCACAGGGUGGCAGUGAGGAACAACAGGCUGCAAGGAGGAAAUGGAGAGGCUGAUGGUAGUAAAAACAAGGUUCAUCAACGCAUCAAGGUGUCAACUGCAACUUGAGAGAAGCAGAAGAAGAAGAAGAAGAGAAAACAAGCCAACUCCUCCUUUCCUCUUCGCUUCCCCUCUCUCUCUCUCUGCGGCCAUUGUGAAAGAGGAAGGAAUUUUUCGUGAUAAUAUGUUCCAGCAGGAGCUACAGAAGCACGAAAAACAAGAGACCACCCAGCAAGUUGAAGAAUAUUUUUGACUUGCCGAGUACAUUAUACAGAUCCCUGUUAGACCCGGAUAGAUCUACCGAGAGUCCCGUGUAUACAACGAAUAUAAAUACAUACUUGCAUAAUCA
Molecule: long non-coding RNA, 505 nt
Organism: Daphnia magna
Lineage: Eukaryota; Metazoa; Arthropoda; Branchiopoda; Diplostraca; Daphniidae
Exons: 2
Source: RefSeq, a predicted model, not a curated record